RNAcentral lists this long non-coding RNA (1923 nucleotides) under Homo sapiens (human). Its description in RNAcentral is "HSALNT0266208". The record is from RNAcentral. Lineage: Eukaryota; Metazoa; Chordata; Mammalia; Primates; Hominidae.
AAAUAAUUAACUAAGACAGUUUCUCCCUCCCUGAAGCCAAGGUAGAACCUCCCCCCUACAGCCAACCCCCACUCUCCUCACUCCUGUUUCCUCUGGGCUCAAGUUUGUGGCCAUUAAAUAGAAGAGGAGAAAGUUUGAACCAGGCAUGAAAUAUUUAUCAGAACCUGAAGAACAUCUCUCUUUCUUCACAAGAAGCUUGUAACACAAUAACUACCACUUAUCGAGCCCCUGCUGAAUGCUUGGAUCUAUGCAAAUAAAAUUUAAUCUGAUCUACAGAACAACUCUAUAAGGUACAGCUGUUGGGAGCUGCAUCUCCUACCCUCAGUCUCCCUGUCUGUGGUUCCAGAGGGAAGAAGAGGGGAAAAAAAGGAUGAAGAGAAUUGUUUCAGUGCUGGGGGAGGAGCCUACAAAGCACUUUGAAAUCCGAAGUUUGUGGGAAGUGGCUGUAUUGCACAAAUACUCUGAGGUGCAACAUUACUUGACUGGUAAUGAGGCAACCAUCCCACCUAGGGCAGAGUUCAAGGACUGCCUUCAAGAGGGGCUGGCCUCAGUUUGCCUGUUACAGAAGCCAAGGGCUAACAGAGGCUCCCCUCUGCCUCACAAAGAAGGAGAUAAAUGGGUCCACUGGAGAGCAACGGUCACAAUCAAGUCUUAAUGAUGAAUUAAUAAUUCAUAAUUACCCCAGACUUGCAGAUAAGCACAAGCCUACUGGAAUUAUUUCCCAGGGAGGAACACAGUCAGAAAGGGUAAGAAGGGGACUUCAGUACAGACAUUACUUCCAGAGGCCGUUAAGUUCAUUCCUCUGCUUCCCAACCAGAACCCGGAAGAGAUUCAUUAGCUUCCUUGGCUGAUUCCUCCUAACAGCUACCACCCCCUGAGCUUCUAAACAGUGCCAUAUUGCCCCUCUGUUCUUCAUAAGGCCAGAGGACCAUUCCUACCAAAGUGACCUCAGAGCCUGGACUCUGGAUUUCUGGCGUCUCUCUGUUCUCUGCUCCCCAUUCUGCUAUUUACAUACGAGGUCCCCUGUAGGAGGGCCUGGUGCUAGGUGUCCCGGCGAGAUGUGGACAUCUUUCUGGCUCUUCUCCUUCUCUUAUCUAAGUCCUCACAUGGUGGGAAAAUACCUCUCUAACGCUAUGUAGAAAGAGAAGCAGGGAGUGCCCCUUCUAGCGUGGAUGCCUUUGGUUCCCAGAUCUGGAUUUGAGGGGCUGGCUCUAUCUCUUAAGACAUUUACCUAGUAUUGAUAAUGGAGAUGGGGCCUAAAUAGGGCUAGGGAGGCACACCCAACUCCCGACCCAGCUCUCUGCUGUUCCCCUUCCCAGUGCACACAAUCCCAAUUCCCACUCCAGAAAUUUUUUUAAAAACAUAUCUUAAAAGAAACCUCGAAGAGCCAAGCAGACCCUCAGCUUCAAGGUAUCUCCUCAUUCUCUCUCUCUCUCGUUCGCUCUCUCUCUCUCUCUCUCUCUCUGUCUCUCUGAAUCUACAAAGAAGGAGUGAGUUUUGUCUCUCCAAGUACUCAGAGCCUUAGAUCACAAAGGGGCCUUAGAUCCUGGUCUUUAGGAGAUCUUUGACCACCACCUCUGCUGUGGCACGACCUUUGUCAAAAUGCUAGAAAGAAGAGAGACUGGCUCUUAGACCAAGGGAAUUUGGGAUUUGAAAGGUCUUCCAAUUACAAUUCUAUAGAUUUCCUUCCCAUUAGCCUUUUCAUGUGCAUCAAAUGUAAAUGGCAGGCUAAACCUACAGGAUGAAGAGAGUUGAAAGACUGCUGUCUAAAAAUGCCCUUUUCCAAAUCUGUGGGUGCAGAAGCAUAUUGAAAAGCAGCUACCCAGCCUGGCGGUGUGGCACAUGCCUGCAGUCUCACAUACUUAAGAGGCUAAGGUGGGAGGACUACUUGAGCCCAGGAGUUUGAGGCUUCAGUAAACUAUG